UGUAUCGAGGGUGCUGCAUGGUUGUCGUCAGCUCGUGCCGUGAGGUGUCGGGCUUAAGUGCCAUAACGAGCGCAACCCCUUGUCGUUAGUUACCAUCAAGUAAUGUUGGGGACUCUAGCGAGACUGCCACCGUAAGGUGUGAGGAGGGGGGGGAUGACGUCAAAUCAGCACGGCCCUUACGUCCGGGGCGACACACGUGUUACAAUGGUAGGUACAGAGGGCAGCUACCCAGUGAUGGGGUGCGAAUCUCAAAAACCUAUCUCAGUUCGGAUUGGAGUCUGCAACUCGACUCCAUGAAGUUGGAUUCGCUAGUAAUCGCGCAUCAGCCAUGGCGCGGUGAAUACGUUCCCGGGCCUUGUACACACCGCCCGUCAAGCCAUGGAAGCCGGGGGUGCCUGAAGUUCGUGACCGCAAGGAGCGACCUAGGGCAAAACUGGUAACUGGGGCUAAGUCGUAACAAGGUAACC
RNAcentral lists this ribosomal RNA (467 nucleotides) under uncultured Bacteroides sp. RNAcentral describes it as "bacterial SSU rRNA". It matches the Rfam family "Bacterial small subunit ribosomal RNA", at positions 1028 to 1501 of the family's 1533-position model. Lineage: Bacteria; Pseudomonadati; Bacteroidota; Bacteroidia; Bacteroidales; Bacteroidaceae. The record is from RNAcentral.